AUACGAAGGGGGCUAGCGUUGUUCGGAAUUACUGGGCGUAAAGCGCGCGUAGGCGGAUUGGUCAGUUAGGGGUGAAAUCCCAGGGCUUAACCCUGGAACUGCCUCUAAUACUGCCAGUCUUGAGUUCGGGAGAGGUGAGUGGAAUUCCUAGUGUAGAGGUGAAAUUCGUAGAUAUUAGGAAGAACACCAGUGGCGAAGGCGGCUCACUGGCCCGAUACUGACGCUGAGGCGCGAAAGCGUAGGGAGCAAACAGGAUUAGAUACCCUAGUAGUCC
Molecule: ribosomal RNA, 274 nt
Filed under: uncultured bacterium
Lineage: Bacteria
Description: partial 16S ribosomal RNA
Rfam family: Bacterial small subunit ribosomal RNA
Source: RNAcentral